Molecule: ribosomal RNA, 446 nt
Filed under: uncultured prokaryote
Description: bacterial SSU rRNA
Rfam family: Bacterial small subunit ribosomal RNA
Source: RNAcentral
CCAAACGGGUGGCUGCAGUGGGGACUCUUGGUCACUGGACGAACGUCUGACCCAGCGACGCCGCGUGGAGGAUGAAGGCCGAACGGUUGUAAACUCCUUUUAUGAAGGAAAAAUGGAAGGACUCGAAUAGGGUCCUAUCCUUGAUAGUACUUUAUGAAUAAGCCCCAGCUAACUACGUGCCAGCAGCUGCGGUAAAACGUAGGGGGCGAGCGUUAUCCGGAAUUACUGGGUGUAAAGGGUACGUAGGCGGAUUUGUAAGUUGGGUGUAAAAACUCAGGGCUUAACCUUGAGCUUGUGCCCAAUACUGCAAGGCUAGAGAGCAGGAGAGGGAAGCGGAAUUCCCGGUGUAGGGGUAAAAUCCGUAGAUAUCGGGAGGAACACCAGUGGCGAAGGCGGCUUCCUGGACUGUCUCUGACGCUCAUGUACGAAAGCGUGGGGAGCAAACA